AUGUCGUCGCCAACACGGCGCGCCCAAGUUCCCUGGUCGAGCAUCCCCACCGAGCUUGCGGGCGUCGUGCUCCGCCGCCUGCCUUGCCAUGCCGACCGGGUCCGCUUCGCCGCCGUCUGCAAACAGUGGCGCGCCUCUGCGCGGCAGACCUCUCCGCCCCCGCACUACCCGUGGCUCGCCUUGCCUGACCGGACAUUCUACAGCCUGCCCGGCUCCGCCUUCCGGCGGCUGCCGCUCCACCUCGACCGCCACCGGCAGCUGCCGCACGCGCAGAGCUCCUGCGGCGAGUGGCUCGUGUUCGAGCGCUUCGACGGCGCCUACACGCUGGUCAGCCCCUUCUCCAUGUCCACCACCAUCCUGCUCCCCGGCCUCUCCGGCACGUAUGCUCCCAACGUGCCUCUCCUCGUCGCAACCGACCAGCCGGUGCCCGACAUGCUGAAGCUCGUCGUGUGCUCUGGCAACCUCGUCGCCGCGAUCGUCAAUGAUGACGAGGCAUUGACGUAUAGCAGCAAGCUUGCCUUGUGCCGGCCAGGGGCGUCCUCGUGGUGGUCGAGCACACCCGACGAGCUUCGAGACCUCCAAGACAUUGUCUCCUGCGAGGGAAAGCUCUACGCCCUCGACAAGUUCAACGGGCUCUUCUCCGUCUCCGUCGGCACGGACAGGCGCACCGGCAAUCCGACUGUGUCACGGGUCGAGCGCCUCAUGGGUAGCCCCCACGGGGUCCUCAAACACUCGUCGCGAUACCUGCUAGAAUCAAGCGGCACGUUGCUGCUGGUCUGCAGGGAGGACGCGAUGCUCGAGGGGUUCAGCGGCGGCUCGAUGGGCGGGCUGGAGCUGGAGCUGGAGUUCGAGGUACUCAAGGCGGACGUGGAGAGGUCGCGGUGGACGAGCGUAAGGAGCGUGGGCGACGACCGGGUGCUGUUCGUCGGGCCAUGGUGCUCCCGGGCGGUUCAUGCUACCGGCGAGCAUGACCCAAUCUACACCGCUGGGAACCGCAUCUUCUUCAUGGUGGACGCUAGCGCGAAAAGAUACAAUCAUGGAUACUACGGGACACAACAGGAGCCCUUCUACUGCAUCGUCUACGACAUGAGCACGCAGCGGUCGGAGUUGUUCCUGGAGAAGCCGGUGCGCCCGUUAAAGGGCUUCCCGGUGACAUGGCUUUUCCCUCCAACCCAGCGCUAG
RNAcentral lists this ribosomal RNA (1182 nucleotides) under Triticum aestivum (bread wheat). RNAcentral describes it as "partial small subunit ribosomal RNA". The record is from RNAcentral. Lineage: Eukaryota; Viridiplantae; Streptophyta; Magnoliopsida; Poales; Poaceae.